AUCAGAUACAAAUAAAUUUCCCCUCGAUAUCUUACUUUCCCAACUUCUCAUCAACAACAGUGGCUGCACCCAUGUGCGAGGUAUGUCCGUCUUUUUUUAAUAUACCGACUGUAGUUAAAUAAUUUAAUAGUUACUAUAGUUAAAUCAACUGAAAUCUAUUUAAGUUUUUAGCAAAUUUCGUAAUUGUUUUUUAUAGAAAUAAAAUGCUUUUUUAUUUCGCCUUUUACCACGAUAUUUGUGAAACACGCUAUUUUUCUUGAUUAUAUUGCCUUCAAAUCCGAACCUUGUUUAUAGCCUUACAGGUAAUAAUAUUAUUAUUACGCGAAAGUAACGGCGACACGCCCGGGAAAAUGAAAACCUUUUCGCGGUUAACGCGGUUUCGUCGGAUACGCGAACGGUUCGUACAGGUAUAUUAGAAUAACCGUUUUCGGGUGGCGGGGGGGGGGGGAGGAAAGAAAAAAGUUCGAAUGUAUAAAAUAUAUUUCAAGAACGCAGUUAAAACGGGGUCGCGGGUAUUACGUAAGUCGUACGUGUACCCGCGUCUCUUUUAGGUCCGGGCGAGGUAGGUAUAAACCCACUGACUGUACUAUAUAGUGCAUACUAAAUCGAAAAGUCUGCUGUUCGCCUCCUAAACCACCGCCUCUGUUGAACAUAAAAAAAAAAAAAAAAAACAAAAAAAAACAAAAGAAAAACCUCGACCGAAAGACCGUACCCUCAGCUGAAUAAAAUACGACGCAGGUCCAUGUGUUUUUUAUCAUGGGUAUGUAAAAAUUGACGACGUUUUUCGUGCCACUUAUUUAAUCCCGGGUGGCCCCGUCAUCUGCACCCCUGUACUAACUGCACUUUUGAACGCGCGCGACCACUUUUCGUCAAAUAAUUAUCGCGAAAAAACGACGUUCCCCCACGCCCCUCCGGCCGAGUGGUUUUCUUUUUUUUGUAGGUAGGUACUCGCCGCCUAUAAUUGCGCGUUUUAAUUUCUAUUAUUGUACACCGUCCGCAAUAACCGACAGCGUGGUUUGUUCUUUUUUCGUCGCUCGGUGUAUAUAUUAUUCUUAUUGUAAGUACCUAAAAUAAAAUUAAAAAAAAAAAAAAAACGAAUGGCGUAGUGCACGACGAAGAAAGACAUUUAUACAAUAUACGCGUAUUAUAUUAAUAAUGGAACGAAUUUUUAAAUUAUUUUUCUAAAACAGCGUACAAUGGGUGUAGAUGUAGGGUCGUGGUGUCGAUGAAAAUCACAGAAAUAAUUUGAAAAAAAAAAAAAUAAAUAAACCUAACGGCCAUCACCGAUUGUGAUUUACCGUGGAUACUGGAUUGUACAAAACGCGAAAUGAAUGUUGGUAGCGGUAUGUACAGCGCCGCGUGUCGGUUAAAGUCGGCCUGGCCGCAGCAGUCGUGAGAAUUGAGCGGUUAGAUGGCGCUGAUGUAGUACCGGACGACGUACGUAUGUCAAUCAGUUGUUGUACAGAUGGCG
Molecule: non-coding RNA, 1471 nt
Organism: Cinara cedri
Lineage: Eukaryota; Metazoa; Arthropoda; Insecta; Hemiptera; Aphididae
Source: the annotation of a GenBank genome assembly